GGAUGUGUGGUUCAAUUGGUAGAACAACUGCCUUCCAGACUCAAAGCUCUGAGUUCAAAUCUCAGGACCACCA
RNAcentral lists this transfer RNA (73 nucleotides) under Dipodomys ordii (Ord's kangaroo rat). It matches the Rfam family "tRNA". From Rfam's summary of the family: Transfer RNA (tRNA) molecules are approximately 80 nucleotides in length. Their secondary structure includes four short double-helical elements and three loops (D, anti-codon, and T loops). Further hydrogen bonds mediate the characteristic L-shaped molecular structure. tRNAs have two regions of fundamental functional importance: the anti-codon, which is responsible for specific mRNA codon recognition, and the 3' end, to which the tRNAs corresponding amino acid is attached (by aminoacyl-tRNA synthetases). tRNAs cope with the degeneracy of the genetic code in two manners: having more than one tRNA (with a specific anti-codon) for a particular amino acid; and 'wobble' base-pairing, i.e. permitting non-standard base-pairing at the 3rd anti-codon position. The record is from Rfam by way of RNAcentral. Lineage: Eukaryota; Metazoa; Chordata; Mammalia; Rodentia; Heteromyidae.